GGAGGGAUCAUUAACACUAUUUGUUUGACUAGGAGCAAUCCUUAUCAUUCAGAUUAAACCAAUCAACACCACGUGAACCUGGGUUAUAUGAAGUUGUACUUUUCCCCUGCUUGCUCGUGGACUUGUACGAUGUAAUUAUAGCCCGAUCCUCCCAUUUUUCUAAGAGCGCUCGCAUCCGAUGUGUAGCGGAGGUAUAGCACCUCAUCUGUGUAAGCACUGUAUGGCCUUUGUGUCAUAUCGUAAAGCUUUUAGAUUAAUGGACUAAAUUUCGGUAGCUGCUACAGUCGAGAAACCAAACCAAACCUUUUUUGUUGUUUAGGCAAAAACAAUUUUCACCCCUUCGUACUCCAACUGACUGAUUAUGUCGUGACGAUGAAAUAGCCUGCUUGCUCGAUAUUUCUGACCUCACUUCACUAAGAUUAUUCUAAUCUAAGCACAACUCUUAGCAACGGAUAUCUUGGUUCUCGCAACGAUGAAGAACGCAGCGAAAUGCGAUAUGUAAUGCGAAUUGCAGAAUUCAGUGAAUCAUCAAAUCUUUGAACGCAAAUGGCGCUCUCGGGAUAGACCCAAGAGCACGCCUCUCUCAGUAUCGGUGAACUUCAAUCUCUCAACUUGAUUUGAUAACUUCGGUUUGAUAUGAUAAGCGAGGAAAAUGAGUGUCUUAUAACUAUUCCUUUGGAAUGAAUUUAAGUCGCUUGAAAGUCACUUGUAACGAGUCGUUGAAAUCUCUCCUAGUACUGUUUAGUCUUUUGACUAGACUAGCCCGAUGUGGUGAUAAUUGUAUUAGUGACGUGGAUAAACCUUACUUUAGUAGUGCUUGCGCUAUUACUGUAAAUUGAAACGUCGUAAGCUAUUACCUUUAUCGGAACUGACAGGUGAAAUUCUAAGAGCUGACCAAGCGAUACAGAAUUAUUGAAAGCAGAUCAAUCGACAGUGCUUAACCGCACUUGAGAGCGAUAUGUGAGUAGACCAAUUUUUUCUCAUUCGAUCUGAGAUGAAGCGAGACUACCCCCUGAAUUUAAGCAUAUUAUUAAGGGGAGGAAAAGAAACUAACAAGGAUUUCCCUAGUAACGGCGAGUGAAGCGGAAAUAGCUCAAAAUGAAAAUCCAAGAUCUACACAGGUCUUUGGAAUUGUAUCCUAUUCGACGUGCUAUCAGCGUGUGACUCAAGUACAAGUCCUUUGGAAGAAGGCAUCAAAGAGGGUGAGAAUCCCGUCUCUGACUUGAGCAAUACAAUUCACCGCGUACGAUGCAUGUUCAUCGAGUCGAGUUGUUUGGGAUUGCAGCUCUAAAUGGGUGGUAAGUUUCAUCUAAAGCUAAAUAUUGGCGAGAGACCGAUAGCGAACAAGUACCGUGAGGGAAAGAUGAAAAGAACUUUGAAAAGAGAGUUAAAAAGUACUUGAAAUUGCUAAGAGGGAAGCGCUAGAAACCAGUGUAUUGUACCAUUGUCAUUUUGCCUAUUCAGAAGGGAAUCGCGGUAUGUCCAGUUGGCAACUCUGGUAGUGCUGUGUGUUUUCGUAUGAGUGGGUCCUGUGAUAGUGGGAUGUCAGAAUGAGUUUGAAUUGCAGGAGACGCUGUUGGGAAAGGUAGGGUAGUAGCAAUACUAUCUGUUAUAGUCCUAGCAGAAUACUGUGAUUUAGACUGAGGAACUUCAUGGUGCGCCACUAGGCAUGAAACUUUGCUUCUAACGGGUGAUGUGAAUUCUAUGACAAUGUCAUAUUGUUUCCAUUUGCUUGUUACUGGGUAGAGCUUUCAUUUGCAUCGUAUGUUGAUUCUGACUAAAUGGUUUCUAUCGACCCGUCUUGAAACACGGACCAAGGAGUCUAACAUAUAUGCAAGUAUUUGGGUGGAAAACCCUAUAAUGCGCAAUGAAAGUAAAGGCAGCUUGCUGCUAUGGUAGGAAAGUUAAUAGAUAUUUCUAAUGACUGGCACUAUCGACCGAUCCUCACUUGUGAGCCGAUUUGAGUAAGAGCAUAUCUGUUGGGACCCGAAAGAUGGUGAUCUAUGCCUGAACAGGGUGAAGCCAGGAGAAAUUCUGGUGGAGGCUCGUAGCGAUACUGACGUGCAAAUCGUUCGUCUGAUUUGGGUAUAGGGGCGAAAGACUAAUCGAACUAUCUAGUAGCUGGUUCCCUC
Molecule: unclassified non-coding RNA, 2132 nt
Filed under: uncultured fungus
Lineage: Eukaryota; Fungi
Description: sequence contains 18S rRNA gene, ITS1, 5.8S rRNA gene, ITS2, 28S rRNA gene
Rfam family: Eukaryotic large subunit ribosomal RNA (bases 986-2132)
Source: RNAcentral